GACGAACGCUGGCGGCGUGCUUAACACAUGCAAGUCGAACGGAAAGGCCCUUCUUUUGUGGGGUGCUCGAGUGGCGAACGGGUGAGUAACACGUGAGUAACCUGCCCUUUACUUUGGGAUAACUUCAGGAAACUGGGGCUAAUACCGGAUAGGAGCUCCUGCUGCAUGGUGGGGGUUGGAAAGUUUCGGCGGUUGGGGAUGGACUCGCGGCUUAUCCGCUUGUUGGUGGGGUAGUGGCUUACCAAGGCUUUGACGGGUAGCCGGCCUGAGAGGGUGACCGGCCACAUUGGGACUGAGAUACGGCCCAGACUCCUACGGGAGGCAGCAGUGGGGAAUAUUGCACAAUGGGCGGGAGCCGGAUGCAGCAACGCCGCGUGCGGGAUGACGGCCUUCGGGUUGUAAACCGCUUUCGCCUGUGACGAAGCGUGAGUGACGGUAAUGGGUAAAGAAGCACCGGCUAACUACGU
This 467-nucleotide ribosomal RNA is filed under the name uncultured bacterium. Its description in RNAcentral is "partial 16S ribosomal RNA". It matches the Rfam family "Bacterial small subunit ribosomal RNA", at positions 28 to 506 of the family's 1533-position model. The record is from RNAcentral.